ACUUCCCUAGUAUAAUAGUACAAGUGACUUCCAAUCACUUAGUUUUAGAUUUACACCCCUAAAGAGAAGUA
RNAcentral lists this transfer RNA (71 nucleotides) under Pseudemydura umbrina (Western swamp turtle). Its description in RNAcentral is "tRNA-Gly". Lineage: Eukaryota; Metazoa; Chordata; Testudines; Chelidae. The record is from RNAcentral.